UACGAAGGGUGCAAGCGUUAAUCGGAAUUACUGGGCGUAAAGCGUGCGUAGGCGGUUUGUUAAGUCUGUUGUGAAAUCCCCGGGCUCAACCUGGGAAUGGCAAUGGAUACUGGCAAGCUAGAGUGUGAUAGAGGAUGGUGGAAUUCCCGGUGUAGCGGUGAAAUGCGUAGAGAUCGGGAGGAACAUCAGUGGCGAAGGCGGCCAUCUGGAUCAACACUGACGCUGAG
RNAcentral lists this ribosomal RNA (227 nucleotides) under uncultured bacterium. Its description in RNAcentral is "partial 16S ribosomal RNA". It matches the Rfam family "Bacterial small subunit ribosomal RNA", at positions 524 to 750 of the family's 1533-position model. The record is from RNAcentral.